UUUCGGCGUUGAAUCCAAUUGAACCGCAGGCUUCACCCCUUGUGGUGCUCCCCCGCCAAUUCCUUUAAGUUUCAUACUUGCGUACGUACUUCCCAGGCGGCAAACUUAACGGCUUCCCUGCAGCACUGCAUUGGCCAUAAGCCAAUGCAUCACUGAGUUUGCAUAGUUUACAGCUGGGACUACCCGGGUAUCUAAUCCGGUUUGCUCCCCCAGCUUUCAUCCCUCACCGUCGAACGUGUUCUGGUAGACCGCCUUCGCCACAGGUGGUCAUCAAGAGAUCAAAGGAUUUUACCCCUUCCUCCCGAGUACCGUCUACCUCUCCCACUUCCUAGUUAUGCAGUAUUCCCGGCAGCCCAUACGUUAAGCGCAUGGAUUUAACCGAAAACUUACAAAACGAGCUACGGAUGCUUUAGGCCCAAUAAUCAUCCUGACCACUUGAGGUGCUGGUUUUACCGCGGCGGCUGACACCAGAACUUGCCCACCCCUUAUUCGUUAGUGUUUCUAGGACUGACAAAAGGUUUCUUUAGCAGAAACCACUCGGAUUAACCUUGUCGUGCUUUCGCACAUUGCAAAGUUUUCUCGCCUGCUGCGCCCCAUAGGGCCUGGGUCCGUGUCUCAGUACCCAUCUCCGGGCUACUCCUCUCAGAGCCCGUACCUGUAAUAGUCUUGGUGGGCCAUUACCUCACCAACAAACUGAUAGGCCGCAGUCCCAUCCUAUGGCGAUAAAUCAUUUGAAACAUAAACCAUUCCAGGCAUAAUGUUCUAUCGGGCAUUAUUCUCAGUUUCCCGAGGUUAUUCCCGUCCAUAGGGUAGAUUGACUACGCGUUACUGAGCCGUCUGCCUUGUAUUGCUACAAUGACUCGCAUGGCUUANUAUCAAUCCGAUAGCAGUCAGGUCCGGCAGGAUCAACCGGAA
RNAcentral lists this ribosomal RNA (915 nucleotides) under uncultured archaeon. Its description in RNAcentral is "16S ribosomal RNA". The record is from RNAcentral.